UACGUAGGGUGCGAGCGUUAAUCGGAAUUACUGGGCGUAAAGCGUGCGCAGGUGGUUUUGUAAGUCUGUCGUGAAAUCCCCGGGCUUAACCUGGGAAUUGCGAUGGAGACUGCAAGGCUAGAAUCUGGCAGAGGGGGGGUAGAAUUCCACGUGUAGCAGUGAAAUGCGUAGAGAUGUGGAGGAACACCGAUGGCGAAGGCAGCCCCCUGGGUCAAGAUUGACGCUCAUGCACGAAAGGCGUGGGGAGCAAACGAGG
RNAcentral lists this ribosomal RNA (256 nucleotides) under uncultured bacterium. Its description in RNAcentral is "partial 16S ribosomal RNA". It matches the Rfam family "Bacterial small subunit ribosomal RNA", at positions 524 to 777 of the family's 1533-position model. The record is from RNAcentral.